This 445-nucleotide ribosomal RNA is filed under the name uncultured bacterium. RNAcentral's name for it is "partial 16S ribosomal RNA". It matches the Rfam family "Bacterial small subunit ribosomal RNA", at positions 354 to 796 of the family's 1533-position model. The record is from RNAcentral.
GUGAGGAAUAUUGGACAAUGGGCGCAAGCCUGAUCCAGCCAUGCCGCGUGCAGGAAGACGCAUCUAUGGUGUGUAAACUGCUUUUGUACGGGAAGAAACACUCCCUCGUGAGGGAGCUUGACGGUACCGUAAGAAUAAGGAUCGGCUAACUCCGUGCCAGCAGCCGCGGUAAUACGGAGGACCCAAGCGUUAUCCGGAAUCAUUGGGUUUAAAGGGUCCGUAGGCGGUUUAAUAAGUCAGUGGUGAAAGCCCAUCGCUCAACGAUGGAACGGCCAUUGAUACUGUUAGACUUGAAUUACAAGGAAGUAACUAGAAUAUGUAGUGUAGCGGUGAAAUGCUUAGAUAUUACAUGGAAUACCAAUUGCGAAGGCAGGUUACUACUUGUGGAUUGACGCUGAUGGACGAAAGCGUGGGGAGCGAACAGGAUUAGAUACCCUUGUAGUCC